UGGGGAAUAUUGCACAAUGGGCGAAAGCCUGAUGCAGCAACGCCGCGUGAGCGAUGAAGGCCUUCGGGUCGUAAAGCUCUGUCCUCAAGGAAGAUAAUGACGGUACUUGAGGCGGAAGCCCCGGCUAACUACAUGCCAGCAGCCGCGGUAAUACGUAGCGGGCUAGCGUUCUCCGGAUUUACUGGGCGUACAGGGUGCGUAGGCGGUCUUUUAAGUCAGGAGUGAAAGGCUACGGCUCAACCGUAGUAAGCGCUUGACACUGGAGGACUUGAGUGCAGGAGAGGAGAGUGGAAUUCCUAGUGUAGCGGUGAAAUGCGUAGAUAUUAGGAGGAACACCAGUAGCGGAGGCGGCUCUCUGGACUGUAACUGACGCUGAGGCACGAAAGCGUGGGGGGCAAACA
This 401-nucleotide ribosomal RNA is filed under the name uncultured prokaryote. RNAcentral's name for it is "bacterial SSU rRNA". It matches the Rfam family "Bacterial small subunit ribosomal RNA", at positions 355 to 774 of the family's 1533-position model. The record is from RNAcentral.